AGCACAAAUGGAGGAGUUGAUUAAUCUUACUGGAAUUGUCAACUUGAUGAGCCAGCAGCUCACUGAUUUGUGCGAAGCUAGAGACAGCCUCUGAUACAUCUACCAACCCUUCUCCAUCCCCACCUCAUAGCACCAAUGAGCAGAGUAUCUAGAUGGUGUUGCUGACUUUCUAUUAUCUAUUUUUUUUUCUAUGAAGAAACUGAAGAUAUAAUAAUUAUAAUCUUUUGUGUUUAGUUUGAACUUUGUUAUGUCAUUGGAUUUCACAUCUGUUUCAUAUUAUGUUUUCUACUAGUAAUGAAUGUUAUGUUUCCAUUAUGUUCCAAGAAUUUCAGUUUUAUAUUUAUGAUUUUAUAGCUUUUAAAUACAAAACAUUUUGUAACCAAAUUUGCCGUAGCUAAUCUGAAUCCAAAUUUUUAGAUACAAAACUUCUGUAACCUAAUUCGUAGCUUCACUGGCGAUAACUCUGCUUAGGAAAAGUUGUUGCUAAGCUCUGUAGCUACAUAGCUAUACUUAAUCUAUUGCUAAAACUGUUGCUAAUUUGCAACAGAAAACUUAGUAGCCAUGUUGUAGCUAAUAGCUACAGCUCGUACUCUCGCUCAUCCGUCGCGAGUGAGCUACGGCAUAGCGACGGAUUGGAGUUAGCGUGGACGCUGACGCCACGGUUUCAGUCCGUAGCCAUCUGUCGCGUGCUGUGGUUUAGCUACAGAUUAUCUUCUCUAGCGAUGAAUAAAUCGGUAGCUAUUUAAUUGAUUUCUUGUAGUGUACGAAAAUAUAUAUAUAGAAGAAGAUACAAAUACAUGUGCAAGUUUGAAACAAUCUAUUCAAUGAAAAAAAUAUACCAUAAACUUAUUUUGUUUUUAAAAUUGAUAGACAAAUAUAUAUAUUAUAAUAUAUACCAAUUUAGAAUUGAAAACAAAAUGUUUUUAUAAAAAUAAAUCAAAACAAAAAUCUGCGCGGUUGCGGGGGUCGAGUUCUAGCAUGUUUUUGAGCUUCUCGAGCAGUAUUGCAUGUUAACAUAUCUCAUCUAAAAUUUUUACGCAUCCGCGAGUAUGUGUAUUUUCUAGUUUCUACGUUCCAGCAGUUUCGAUAUGUGAAACAAGCAAAUGAAGAGCAAAAACUGUUGAGAAAAUCUUUAGUUAAUAAUUAUUCGGCACUCAAUCGUACUGUAUAGAUCACAUAUAUUGCAUAUUUCAUGAAGGACCAUGCAUGGUACCCACCUCUUUGUUCUUUCUUUUAUAUGAAGAAAUUUGAGUGUACUAGUCGAUCGUGGCCUACGUACAAACUCUAUGGGCAGAAAUAAUGCAGCACCAAUAAAAAAAUUUUCUAAACCGAAGUUUUGUGUUCCACAUGAUGUGAGGUUUAUAUAGGUACGUGGCAUGGAACGUGAUGUAUCUAGUGACAAUAAUCUUCGGUAUUUAGGUGCAGAAACAAAAUGACACAUUUUUUUUUUGAGAAAACAAAAUGACACAUUUGUUAGGACUUAGUACAUACAUAGCUUUUUAGGUUUAUAAACAUCUCAACCUAAUGAUGUUAAAAACAUCUCAACCUAAUUUCUUUUAGUAAAAAUAAAAAAUAUCUAUAGUUAAGAAAUGGAUAUACAUAUUUAAGACUAUAAAAUGUUCAUUAACAUAAUCAAUAAAUAAACAGAUAUUCACCUUAAUUAAAGCUGGAACGGACAAUGGCCAUUGUGGCAGGUCCCAGUUCAAAUGACUAUUGAAACGAAAUUAAUAUUACAUGUUAUGGUUUUAGGUCUGGGAGAUUACGGGCUCACUAUAAGAAUUCAUCAAAAUAGUUACAGAUUGGCGAAAGAAAUUCCGUAGCCAAAUUCAUUAGCUAUAGAUAUAGCGAUAGAACGCAAAAUUUUAAUUUUGUAGUUAAUUGUAGCAAUCCGUAGCGCUAUAUAGCUAGAGAUUGAUUUUGUUGUUGAUCUAUAGCUAAAUAGCUACGCUUUGGCUAUGGAUAAGUGGUUGCUAUAAUUGUUCUAUAUAACCGUCAUUAGCUACGAUUGUUUCUAUUGCUAUAUAGCAACGAUGUCUCUAUCCUCACCAUUCCGUCCGCUUUGAUAACAAUACUAUAUAUUAUAAAUAAUCAAGAUAAUCAAAAUUAUAAUAUUUCAUAUAUAUACAUAUGAAUAUAUAAAAAUGUUAUAUCAUCAAUUAAUAUUUUCAAUACAAAUACAAAUUAUGAUUUAAUAUAUUUUUUAAUCCACAUGUAUUAAACCAUAUUAGUGUAAUGGAAGUAAAGAGUAGAUGCAUUUGUUGGUUUAAGUUUAGUCACUCAUAGUAAUUAUCAAGCAUUUUUUGUUAGGUUUGCAUUGAACAUUAUUGCUCGAUGUACAUAACUAGUUCUAAGUGUAUAUUAAUUGUGUUAUUGAUCAUUUUAUGUAAUGAGGUCAAUAGUGGUUCUUCUUUCAUCACUUUUGUCAAAUACAUGUUUUAAUUCUUUUACUCCAAAACUAGUUUAAGCCUUGUAACAAGAAAAAGUAAUUCAUAAGACAAAUUAUUGAGUUAUCAAGGAUCCAAAACGUAACGUAUGGUUGUAUGCACGCAUGUCUUUAGUAGAUCUCCUAAAAAAAAUGAUUUCGCUUUGGUAUGGUUAUAAUAAGUAACAAAAUUUCAUAUUUAUUUUCUUUUGGUAAGUAAAGUUCUGAAAACGUUGUAGAAGUUCUUUAUAGAAGUUUUAUUUUUGGAUGAUACAUAUAUGCCUAAUUCCUUUUCCAAUCUAACACGAGUAACUUUCUAAACCCUAAAUCUAAACUCCAAACCCUAAACCCUAUCUAUCAUCGCAUAUAUUAAAGAACAAAAACAAACUAAUUGUGUAUUUCAAUAAAUUAAAAAAUAAAAUCAUACCUAGUAUACUUUCAUCCUUUAUCAAAUUAUUAUGUUAUUAGGUAGAAUUGAUCAGAAUGAGUAUAUAGGAUUUAAUAAAGUAGAGUCAUAAUGUAAUCAAAUAAAUAAAUGUGGGGGGGGAAUAAAUCACCACUUACUCUAUAUCACGAGUGAUUGCCGCUUGAAAAAUAUAUUUCUGGACACCAAAAUUUUCGUGAUGGCCGCCAAAAUAUUCACCAAAAAUUUGAAUCUCCGCCAUAAAUCUUUUCCCAAAUCUCAGCCACAAUAUUUUCUUUCUAAAUCUUCUUCUCCGCCUAAACACUCCCUUCUUCUCCAGUAAAUACCCUCCCAAUCUAUUCUCCUCUCCUACAAAUUAACAGAGCCUCUCUCAAUAUAUCAAUUUUCAUUUCCAAAAUCUUUUGCAACAGGUUCUUCUUCACUUUUGAUAAUUGUAUUUGUUUAUAUCGUGAAAUAAAUUUUGGGCGACUUUCUCAUCACUGUGUUUCAUUCAGUUUAGAGUUUAUGUUUCCAAUCGAUUUUGGGGUUUUUAUUUCGAAAUCGAAUGGGGGUUUAGUCCCUGCCUUCUCAUAUCUUCUUUUUAUUUGUUUUGGACAAAGUUUGAAACUUUGAAUGAUGUUUUAUCUCAGGGUUUGUUCUAAAUCCAAGAAAAAGAAAUCAGAACGUGGUGGAGAUGGUAUACAUCAACACAUCUCAGGUUCCAAAUCUUUUGCCAAGGUCAAAUAUGAUAUGGUAUAAUAAACUUAUCCUUAUUGUUUUUUUGUGUCUCUAUAUUUCUCUUAUGAGUCUUUAAUCCAUCUGCCUUAUGUAUAUAGUGAUGGAGUUGGGUGAGGAGCCAGCUAUCACUGACUUUAACUCAGAAACAUCAAUCACACCAGAUGCGGCAUUUUACACGGCAGAUGUCGGAUUAUUUUGUUCAUGGUUCUAUUGCUUCAGUUUUUAAUGCUUAUUGGUAAAUUAAUGAUUGAUUAGUAUUUUUUUUUUGUUAUGGCUAUGCGGUAGUGUUAUGUUUCAUUGUAAGUGUAGUAAUUUUGUUUCUUGUUUUUCUGGUUUUGUAGGUGGUCAAGCCACACAAAGGAAGGUUGUUUGAACUUGGAACAGCACAAAUGGAGGAGUUGAUUAAUCUUACUGGAAUUGUCAACUUGAUGAGCCAGCAGCUCACUGAUUUGUGCGAAGCUAGAGACAGCCUCUGAUACAUCUACCAACCCUUCUCCAUCCCCACCUCAUAGCACCAAUGAGCAGAGUAUCUAGAUGGUGUUGCUGACUUUCUAUUAUCUAUUUUUUUUUCUAUGAAGAAACUGAAGAUAUAAUAAUUAUAAUCUUUUGUGUUUAGUUUGAAC
This 4186-nucleotide long non-coding RNA is filed under the name Brassica napus (rape). RNAcentral's name for it is "long non-coding RNA (BNAP_LNC013633)". The record is from RNAcentral. Lineage: Eukaryota; Viridiplantae; Streptophyta; Magnoliopsida; Brassicales; Brassicaceae.